UUUUGCUUCUCCAAAGUGUACCUCUAAAGACUUUCACAAAUUUCAGGACUUCAGUCAGUUCCUGCUUAUUUUUCUAAUACAGGUACCAAAAUUUCCCAAUGUUCCUUUCCUUAGGUUUGUAUACCUCUAAAACCAACUGUACAGAAUACGAAUGCCUCUUUUUACCCUCUUUAGUUGUCAAGAGUUAUAAUAACAUAUUCAGUGCAUUUGUAUUUGUAAGUUACAGUUUACUUCUGGUCACUAGAAAGACAGGUACAAAAGCUUCCUUAUCAUUUUAAAAAGAAAAUCUUCUAAGUGCUGUUUAGAUUUCUGAUGUAAGCAUUAUAGGGUUUCCAUAGUUUUGUCAUAAAUUUCAGUAUUACACCUUAAGUUAGACUUACCAAGUAUGUUUCUGAAUUCUGGUAUCUUCCCUGAGGAACUACACUGCCAUUUUGAGAUGCAGAGAAACAUCUGCAUUGAAAACUAGAAAAAAACCACCCCAUUUUCACAUGUAGCCUAAACCAAGAUUUCUUUACAAAACAACUGAGACAAAAGACUUUCAAUUCACAAUCUGAUAAUACACGAACUUCCAAUAAUUCUCACGUUCUAGUCUGAUAAGCAUCUUUGUGAACUACUGCAAGUUUAUAAUCUGGAAGUACCAACUAGAGCAAUGCAAAGGCUCAUGCCUGUUUUACAGACGCCUAGGGACUAUGAUAUAGGAGUUGAGACUAACAGUUGUGAAGACUUGACACCGAGAGAUAGAAGUCGUCUCUGUGAAAAAAGGAGCACAACUUCAAGUCUCGACACAAUCAGAUUAGGAUACCAGGAUGGUACUCUACUGAACAGAGCAGGUUCAGACUUCCUACUCCAUACUAGAUUAGGUGGCACAAGGUAUUUAAUCUACAAUAGAAGUCUACACCUUUCAAAGAAAGGUGCAUACAAUUUUUCUCUUUAAAAAAAAAAACAAACUUAUUUCUGUUCUAAGGAGAUUUGAUACCAAAAGUUUCUCCAAAACUUUCCUACCAAGCACACGAUAAGCAAGACACUCUGAGUUUGCGAUUUGUUCAAUACACUCUUCAUAAAUCAAGAAAUCAAACAAAGCGGACUUUUAAAAAACUUGCCCAGCCAAACAAACAAUACUCAUGCCCCUCAAGGGCUAUCUAUGAAUUAGGUAUCUUGAAAACUUACCUAAAAAUCUGGCUCUGAAGCUAAAUUUUAGUUUAGCUUCUGAAAACAAGCAAAACCAAUCAAACAGCAGAAACACACUCAAAAACUACAUGCUAAAACCAGCAACGUAUCAUAUAGCAUCAGGCCCCUUGUCUUACCUAACACUGUUCUCAAUGUUGGUGGAAGCCUCUAAUUACAAUGGCUUUACUACAGCGUAACUGAAAACAAAAAUAUAUCCUAUUUAAUUCCCAGAUUUCUUCUAACAUACGGAAUAUCAGAUGGGUAGAUUUUCUUGCCAUUAUACAUAUGUAGUCUUUCUGAAGCUUAAAAAUUUCUCCAUUAGGUAGAAGUUAAAUAAAAUCAUUUACUCUUCAAAAGCCAUUUGCACAAUAAAUUUUCAAGGAAUUUCUGAAUUUUAGUGACCAACACAAAGGAGUGAACCAACCUUUUAAUACUGCUCAUGCAACACAAGGAAAAGCACCCAAAAAUGCACUGCGGAAGGAAAUAAUUGAGCAACAGAGUUACAUUUUCUAAUACGACUCAGAUAAAGAACAAAGUAAAAAUUACUAUUCGUCUUCAGAAAAUAAUGGGAAUGUUUUUCCUGUGAAUUUUAACUGUUGAUUUAUGUAAUGGAUGGGAACCUAGAUGAGAGUUGAUUCCCUCUCAUGACUGAGACACAUAAAGGAUAUUUUUUGUCAAAGUGUAUUCGGUAGAGUAUGCAUGUUUAUGUUCAUCGUGACUGUUGGAGAGAGGCAGGAAAACACAGGUGUGCAGCUGUUCUAUGACCUUCAUACUUGGCUGCACUGGGACGCCAUGCUCUCGGCAUGGACAAUAGCGAGAUCAUGAGAAACUGCAAGGCCUCAUGAGUAAACAAUUACAGAGCUGGCAUAAAGCC
RNAcentral lists this long non-coding RNA (2041 nucleotides) under Strigops habroptila (Kakapo). RNAcentral's name for it is "lncRNA (ENSSHBG00005002210.1)". The record is from RNAcentral. Lineage: Eukaryota; Metazoa; Chordata; Aves; Psittaciformes; Psittacidae.